UACGGAGGGGGCGAGCGUUAUUCGGAGUCAUUGGGCGUAAAGGGCGCGUAGGCGGCCCCGUAAGUCUUGGGUGAAAGCCCUCGGCUCAACCGAGGAAUUGCCUUGGAUACUGCGGGGCUCGAGGCUGGAAGAGGACAGUGGAAUUCCCGGUGUAGCGGUGAAAUGCGUAGAUAUCUGGAGGAACACCGGUGGCGAAGGCGGCAUCCUGGACCAACACUGACGCUGAGGAGCGAAAGCCAGGGGAGCAAACGGG
RNAcentral lists this ribosomal RNA (253 nucleotides) under uncultured bacterium. RNAcentral's name for it is "partial 16S ribosomal RNA". It matches the Rfam family "Bacterial small subunit ribosomal RNA", at positions 524 to 776 of the family's 1533-position model. The record is from RNAcentral.